Molecule: long non-coding RNA, 5384 nt
Filed under: Sus scrofa (pig)
Lineage: Eukaryota; Metazoa; Chordata; Mammalia; Artiodactyla; Suidae
Description: lncRNA (ENSSSCG00035052871.1)
Source: RNAcentral
UUCGCUUUCAAAUAGGCACAAAAAUAAGUAAGUUAUCUGAUAGGAAACUAGAAUAAUACGGCUGAGGAGACCUUGAAAAAUGUAGCUUAGUCUUUUUAAAGCAUAAGAAGGAAGAAAUAAUUUCAACAUAUGUGUGAUGUUUUGACAUCUUAAAGCUAGACAUAUGAAUGAAAAAAUAUGUACAAUGAAAAUUUUCAGGAAUUAUUUCCUACUCUUAAGUUAACACUAAAUGUGGAAAUAAAUGCCAAGCCAAUAUUAGCAAGGGAUUUACCAGAGGAAAUAUGUAAUAUAAUGAGAUAUCUUGGGAAAUUUUAAGAAUAGCCAAAUAACCAACUAGUUAACAUGAGGGCAGGUUUACCUUUGUCCUUGUAAUUUUUGUGGAAUAUCUUUUAUCUGUUGUUGUUGACUUAUUCUGUUGAUACAAAUAGGUGAUAAAAAGUAUUAUUUUUUUUACCUUUGCUUUAGCUUAAUUUUUGCCUUUCAAUCCUUUUGCAAUUUGACCAAAUUUGUGUUUAUUAUAGUGUGCAAAAGGAAACCAAAUGUUAGACCUUUAUACUUUUAAAAGAUGUAGCAUAUAUAGAAAAGUCAGUAUCUUUCAUCCUAAGUUUCUUUAAUACAAAUAUCAAGUUUAGGGUUUUCUCUGUGUAAAUGAUUGGAUAUUGGAUUGGCAUUCAGAUGUGGUUAGGCAUUGCUAUAAAAAUUGAGAAUUGAGCCUCUUAAGACACAAAUAUAUUUGAAGUUUAAUGUAAAUUUAAGCAUAAAUUGACAGUAAAUUUAUAAUCGCCUACCAGAGGUAUAAUUUGACCCAUAAAAAAAGAAUAAAGAAGAUUAGAAACAUUAAAUGAAGAUUAUCCUUUUUAGUCUAGUAUUAGUAAUUAUAAAAAUAACAAAUGAUACGGUAAGUUCUACAUUAAUGUAAUAGAAUACAGCUUUCUUUUUAUUAUCAACAAGGCAAAAGUAAUAAAUUACAUUUUAAAAAGAUCUGCAUGGACUUCUGAGCCAAGCUUGUAAAAUUUGCAGUGUUUUUGAUGUAUAAAAAUAGUGGAUUCAUGAGAAUAAAAUGAAGAUACUACUUUAAAUUACUAUAUUUCAUAAAUAAUUUACUUUGCUACCAUUUUCUGCUUAAGAGCCAGAGUGAUAAAUGCUUAAAUAUUUGUUUUUAUUUUAGCAUUUUGAAUCUUGAACCAGAAAAAUCACCUGAUCAAGUUGGUGAUUGGGUUGCAUUGCAUUUGUUAGUUAUAGUAAUAACUGUUUAAAAAAUUACCCGAAGUUCCACAGAAAUGAAAGAAACCAUGCCUGUAGUUAAUACAAGGUUGUUAUGAACUAUACAUGUCACUAAGAGGCUAGAUUAUAUGAAAUUAAUCUUGGAAGGCCGUUAGGCUUACCAUUAUACCAUCAACGUACACUGAAAUAGGUAAUUUUGUAUACAAAUUUUCUUUUAAGUUUAGUUUACUAUUACCCGAAGUUUCUUAUUUAAAAAUUUGGACUGUGGACAGCCAAUUAAUUUACCUUUUCUAUGAGAUUUAUACUUUUUUGAGAGGCUUAGGGGGAAAAAGAUAAUUUGAGGACCUCUCCAUCUCUUGCAUUGAUGAGAGGUGUGUGAUAGAGCAGAAAGUAUAACUCUGAUGCAGCAGUCAGGAGAGCUGGCUUCUAACCUAAAUUACCCUUGUGAUUUUGACGUUUUAUUCAUUGUGGCCCUUCUCUUAAUUUGUUUAAAGUAUUUGAAAUAUUCAAUUUCUUAUGAUACCUUUUUGGUCUCAAAUUGUGUGGUAAAAAUAAUAGAAUGUCUUGAUUCUCUUAAACUGCCUAAGUAUUUUUGUAGUUUUUGAAUUGCAAAUCAUGGUUGUUAUUUCUGUGGUGAAGUUAAUUUGAAUAACAAGACCUGGGUGAUAAUGUACCCAGCUUUCCUAAUUUUAGGCAUUCCAUAAUAUUAAUAAAUAGUAUAAAGCAGACAUAAUGGAAAGUUAAUCUUAAAAAGCAGUUAAGGUGUGAAAUUGUCUUUAAAAAACAAAGAUUUAGAAGGCUACAAUAAAAACAUUGUUUGAAUUUUUGCCUAGUUAUUUUAUUAAAUAAUUUAAAGAUUAGUGUAUUUAAGGUAAUUUGCACCUGACCAUCUGAUUAUAAAUGGUGAUUUAUAAUUUACAUGCUUGACAUAAUCUUUUUAAGAAGUUUCUAUUCUUCAAUGAUAAAUAUACCUCAUUUACCUUUUCCCUUACAGAUCGAGUGGCUCAAAACAGACAGUUUUCAUAUUGGCUGUUAGUGCUGAAUAUAGAUAAUUUUUAAAAUUUAAAUUCAAGGAUACUCUCAACUUUCUAAAGCAAAAACUGACUUGAUUUACGUAACAUUCAAGUAGCAUGUUUCUUACCGUUUGAUAAAGUUUUAUACAUUGUAUAAAGCUAGAUCCCUGUUUUAAAAGAUAGUUCUUUGUUUUUUGAAACUAUUCCAUUUAUUUGAAAUUGAAUAUUUCCUAAGCAAGCAAUUAUAUCCUUAAUGUGAUAGAGUCAUUUCAAUUUAGGUUAUUAAGCUAGAUAUUUUGCUUAACAUUAAUGGUUUGUGAGUUGUGAUGUUUUCUUAUAUAACUGUUAAUGAAUUUAUCACUACCUUAUUUUUGUGGAAGAUUUCUUAUAUUUCACAGUACUCUCAGGUUUAAUUCUUAAUUUAAAUGUAAAAAUUGUUUUAGGGACUUUAAAAGGUGACAAAAUCAGGAGUUCCCAUCGUGGUGCAGCAGAAACAAUCCAGCUAGGAACCAAGAGGUUUUGGGUUCGGAUCCCUGCUCUGUGGGUUAAGGAUCUGGCAUUACCAUGAGCUGUGGUGUAGGUUGCAGAUGUUCAGACUUGGCGUUGCUGUGGCUGCUGUGGCAUAGGCUGGCAGCUUGGAUUGGAUCCCUAGCCUGGGAACCUCCAUAUGCUGUGGGUGCAGCCCCCCCCCAAAAAAAGGUGACAAAAUAAAAUAUUCUUAGAUGCACAAAUGGGCUAGUAAUGGUAGGACUUGAUUCAGGCCAUCUUGUCUUUUAUUAUGACAAGCAAUCAAAAUUGUUAUUUGCAUUAUAGCUAUAAUUUCAUACUAAAUGAGGAUCUUUGAUACUGCAAAAUAUUAAAAAUAGGUAGGCAUGUGAGCAAAAUUAUCAACUUUGAUAGUUUGCUUAAUGUGAACUUGGUUUACCUCCCCCUUAAAAGGAGGGCUGAGUGGGCCGAGUACUGCUUUGUCAGUGUUUGGAAAGGAAAUUGUAUGGCAGGUUAAAUGGGUGUCAGUAAUCUUUGUGGUGGUACAAGAUGUGACCCAGGUCAUCUUCUGUUUUUGGUGGACUGAGCACCUUGAGCCCUAAUACUUGUACUGGUAGGUAGCCUUUUUUUCCUUUUUUUCUUUUUUUUAAAUUAGAGUACAGUUGAUUUACAAGUAGGUGGCUUUUUUGUAAGCAGGUUCUCAGACUGAUGUGAUAGAUUUCCCUCAGACUUUGCUUUCACCCAACAUUCCUUAGGUCAUUUCCACCCUUCUCUUGGGGUUUAUAUCAAUUUAUUUUACUUGGCUGAUUUAGAAUUUGUCUUUGUUCACAAACUUUUCUUUAUAAAGUCAGAUUAAAUUUGGAAGUUUAAGAAUAAAUAAUGCUGUGUUUCUUGUAAAUUGUUUCAUUUAUUAACUUCUUGGGAGGAUAUUUUAGCAUGUUGCUCUUAAAAGUAAUUUUGAAGCAGAUCUUUGCAAUAUUUCUUGGUUGUGAUUAGUCAAAAUGAUUAAAGGGAUUUAGAUUUGGUAAGAUAAUCAGGAAGUUGGCUUUAAAAUUUGAAAAUUGGAAACCUUAGUCAUGGAAAAGCAUUUGGGUAAGCAUAGUUUUAGAUUAAGUCCUAAACUUUGGCUUUCUAAAAAUCCUCACAUUGCUACACUUAAAUAGUGAACUUUUAAACAAAGCUUUUUGGGUAGUUCUAGCUAUUGUGAUUAUUAUGAUCAACUUAGGAGCAGGAGAGACUGAAAAAAGUGUAUACCUAUGUUCUCAAAAAUGUAUUUGAGAUGUAGGAAACAUCUUUCACAUGAGGUAUUUCAGUCUAACUAGUGAACUAACUAGUGAAGACUAUGGAUGUAUCCUGAUCAAGCAAAUAUUUUUAGGAAGGGUUAGUGUUGAGUAGGUCAUUGUAAGUAGUAGUACAAAAAGCUUGACAUUUUAAGAUUUCGAUCCUAGAACAGUGUUGAUUAGAGUACAUGAUAAUGUGAAAUAAUAUGGUAAUAUUAAGGAGUGAGUAAUACGGCCUUGCCAGGUUGGUAAUGGAAGUUUUCCUUUAGAAGUCUUAAAAGUAGAUUAGAUGAAAGACUAGAAAAUAAAGUAAUUCUGUGCUGUUAAGGAGUGAUAUUGGCUUUUAUAUUAAUCAGCUACCUCUCAGCUGCCCAUUAGAUCUACCUAAAGAGCCCAGACUUUACUAGGGAGUUCUUGGAGCAUGAGAAAUGUUUUUACUCUACAGGUGAGCCUUCUGAACAGUCAAAUUUAAGAUCCUCUGGAUUAGAACUUUGUUGUUUUGUUUUGUUUUGUUUUGUUUUGUUUUGGAUUAGAACUUUUGGCUACAUUUAUAAAUGCACAUAUGUCUUGGUCUUUCGGAGAGUGAUCCUGAUAAGGUGUUGAAAUUUCCAAAUCUAUUUUUGUCUUUUUUGUAUGUGUACAAUUAUAUUCUUUUUGUUUUCUGCAGCAAUAUGAAUCCUGAGGCUGAAUUGUCUAAGGGGCCUGUACAGCGAAAUAGAUAGAGGUAUAAAUGGAUGGAAGGAAACUCACAUUUGAACAUUCUUCUAAUACUGCACCCUAGCUGUUGGUAAGCUCCCCAUUUUUAUAAAUAAAGUUUUAUUGGAACACAGCUAAGCUCUUUCAUUUACAUAUUAGCUGUGUCUGCUUUCUGACUACAGCUGCAGAGAGUAGAUUUAGCUAAUGGCCACAAACCCUAACAUAUUUAGUUAUUUAGUAUUUUAACCUGUAAGGAAAUCUUGCCUAUCCUUUCCCUAGAUUCAUCCUUUUUGUCAACUUUAUGUAGAACUCAAAAGCACUUGGAUUCUCUUAAUAAUGGGGGUGUACCUUUUACUUUGUUAGUAUUUCAUUGUUAGAAUUCAAAUAACAUAAGUAAUCAUGAGCUUGGCUUAAACUCCAAAGCCCAACAAAGGUUCUUUCACACCAGCAUUAUGCUUUAAUAUUAGAAGAUUUGGGGAGUUCCCGGUGUGGCACAGUGGAAAUGAAUCAACUAGUAUAGUAUCCAUGAGGAUUUGGGUUCUAUCCCCGGCCUCACUCAGUGGAUUAAGGAUUUGGAGUUGCUGUGAGCUGUGGUGUAGGCCAGCAGCUGCAGCUCUGAUUCGACCCCUAGUCUAGGAACUUCCUUAUGACACAGGUAUGGCCCCAAAAAGCAAAAAAAAAAAAA